GCAGACACAUUCCAGCCAAUCAGCAGCAGACCCUCCCUCCCAGACCCUCCCACCUCCUGGACAGCAUCCAUUUUGAAGCUGCAUUCUUAGUGAGCUGUCCAGGAGGUGGGAGGGUCUGGGAGGGAGGGUCUGCUGCUGAUUGGCUAGAAUGUGUCU
Non-coding RNA from Pelobates cultripes (western spadefoot toad), 156 nucleotides. The record is from the annotation of a GenBank genome assembly. NCBI's taxonomy places the organism in Eukaryota, Metazoa, Chordata, Amphibia, Anura, Pelobatidae.